Molecule: ribosomal RNA, 468 nt
Filed under: uncultured bacterium
Lineage: Bacteria
Description: partial 16S ribosomal RNA
Rfam family: Bacterial small subunit ribosomal RNA
Source: RNAcentral
GACGAACGCUGGCGGCGUGCUUAACACAUGUAAGUCGAACGGAAAGGCCCUGCUUUUGUGGGGUGCUCGAGUGGCGAACGGGUGAGUAACACGUGAGUAACCUGCCCUUGACUUUGGGAUAACUUCAGGAAACUGGGGCUAAUACCGGAUAGGAGCUCCUGCUGCAUGGUGGGGGUUGGAAAGUUUCGGCGGUUGGGGAUGGACUCGCGGCUCAUCAGCUUGUUGGUGGGGUAGUGGCUUACCAAGGCUUUGACGGGUAGCCGGCCUGAGAGGGUGACCGGCCACAUUGGGACUGAGAUACGGCCCAGACUCCUACGGGAGGCAGCAGUGGGGAAUAUUGCACAAUGGGCGGAAGCCUGAUGCAGCAACGCCGCGUGCGGGAUGACGGCCUUCGGGUUGUAAACCGCUUUCGCCUGUGACGAAGCGUGAGUGACGGUAAUGGGUAAAGAAGCACCGGCUAACUACGUG